RNAcentral lists this ribosomal RNA (253 nucleotides) under uncultured bacterium. Its description in RNAcentral is "partial 16S ribosomal RNA". It matches the Rfam family "Bacterial small subunit ribosomal RNA", at positions 524 to 776 of the family's 1533-position model. The record is from RNAcentral.
UACGUAGGGCGCAAGCGUUGUCCGGAAUUAUUGGGCGUAAAGAGCUCGUAGGCGGUCUGUUGCGUCCGCUGUGAAAACCCGGGGCUUAACCCCUGGCUUGCAGUGGAUACGGACAGACUAGAGGUAGGUAGGGGAGAAUGGAAUUCCCGGUGUAGCGGUGAAAUGCGUAGAGAUUUGGAGGAACACCAGUGGCGAAGGCGACUAUCUGGUCUGUAACUGACACUGAGGCGCGAAAGCGUGGGGAGCAAACAGG